This 329-nucleotide unclassified non-coding RNA is filed under the name soil metagenome. Its description in RNAcentral is "partial contains 5.8S ribosomal RNA, internal transcribed spacer 2, and large subunit ribosomal RNA". The stretch from base 1 to 120 matches the Rfam family "5.8S ribosomal RNA", at positions 35 to 154 of the family's 154-position model. The record is from RNAcentral.
GAUGAAGAACGCAGCGAAAUGCGAUAAGUAAUGUGAAUUGCAGAAUUCAGUGAAUCAUCGAAUCUUUGAACGCACAUUGCGCCCCCUGGUAUUCCGGGGGGCAUGCCUGUCCGAGCGUCAUUACGACCCUCAAGCUCAGCUUGGUGUUGGGCCCCGCCGCCCCGGCGGGCCCUAAAGUCAGUGGCGGUGCCGUCCGGCUCCGAGCGUAGUAAUUCUUCUCGCUCUGGAGGUCCGGUCGUGUGCUCGCCAGCAACCCCCAAUUUUUUUCAGGUUGACCUCGGAUCAGGUAGGGAUACCCGCUGAACUUAAGCAUAUCAAUAAGCGGAGGA